Bos taurus (domestic cattle) is the source of this 1616-nucleotide long non-coding RNA. NCBI's taxonomy places the organism in Eukaryota, Metazoa, Chordata, Mammalia, Artiodactyla, Bovidae. The record is from Ensembl.
UCUCAUGGAUGGAGGAGCCUGGUGGGCUGCAGUCCAUGGGGUCGCAAAGAGUCAGACACAACUGAGCGACUUCACUUUCACUUUCAUUACAGAAGUAAUCAAGUUAGAAUUAGGUCUUUGAGAUGGUCUUUAAUCCAGUAGGACUGGUAUCCUCAUAAAAAGGGCAAAUUUGGACAGAGGCAGAUGUACACACAGGGAGAACAUGAUGGGAACAUGAAAGCAGAGACUAGGGUGAUACAUCUACAAGCCAGGAAUCCUAUAGAUUGCCAGCAAACCACCAGAAGCUAGGCAAGAAGCAUGGACCUGGCCAUCUAUCACAUCCUCAGAAAGAACGAACCUAACUGCAGGUCUACCCUUCCUGAUGAGGCUCUGAGUCCCUAAGAGGUUGGAUCUGAUUCUUAUCUGCAAGAGGCUGUGGCUUGGUGUUUGAUGAACGAGUGCAUAUAUGCCUGAAGGUGGCAAAUCAAAGGCAGGAGUCCAGACAGGCUGGAGGAUUGACACUGAACAUCUUAAAAAGCAAGCCCUUGAUCAGGGCCUUGAAUGCCGCUGUCAGAAGUCUAAUCUUAUCCUGGAGGUGCUGCCAAAGAACUUGACUGAAUUAUGUUCCUGACCUGGUGUUUUGUGGAAGGCAGAACUUGAAAGCAAUGAAACUAGAUUUGGUUUGGUUGAGGAAAUUUCCAAACCAAUUGUAAGGAGAUUAGUUUAGAUGGACAAUCUCAAUGGAAAUUAGGCGCUAUUCAUCAAGACAAUAGUCAGAUGUCCAAACAGAAGAGCCAAGAUCUGUUGUCCAUGACAAAACAUCAAUGGAAGAAUGAUCCAGAAGGCAUUUUGGAGAUCUGCUGCCUCCCCCUCUGCUCCAACUCCAAAGGCCCUGAGUGCAAAAUGGCAGGACAAUUUUAAAGGCUUAUCCUAAGCCAGUGCUACCAUUGCAAUUUGGAAGCAUAUAACACGGUUGAUUUCACAGGUUCACAUCUGGAAUCUCAUCCAUGGCUGAUUUAGAUGAGACUUUGGACUUACACUUUUAAAUUAAUGGUGGAAUGUGUUAAGACUUUUGGAGCUAUUGAAACUGAGCAGGACUUGAGAAAUUACCUGAGACCAAGGAAGUGCAAGCCCUGAACACACCCUAAUCUUAUCAGCAACCCCACCCUUGAACCAUUGCUAUAAAACCUCCCUGGUGGGAACACAUAGUUUUUGAGGGACAUGAGUCCCUGUGUCCCCUUUUGCCUGGCAAAGCAAUAAAGCUAUUCUUUUUUACUUCAACCAAAACUCUGUCUCCAAGAUUCAAUUUGGUAUCAGUGCACAGAGGCCAAGCUUUUGGUUUCAGAUUUAGCAAUGUGGAGUCAUUGGGACUUUGAUAAGAAUGAUUCUAGUGAAUAGGUGUAAAAAUAUGAUUACAACGAAUUCAGAAUCGAUGGGAGGGACUUCCCUGAUGGUCCAGUGGUCAAGACUGUACUUCCAUUGCAAGAGGCAUGAGUUUGAUCCCUGUUCAGGGAACUAAGAUCCUGCAUGCCUUAAGGGGUAGCAAAAAAAAAAAAAAAGGCAAUGGGAGAGUAAUUUGAGACAACAAGCAGAAAUUAGUUUGAGGAGAUCAUCUCUGUAAAGAGGAGUAGAGGAAU